GGAGUUUGUGAAAAUUUUUUGAGUCUUCGACGCUGAUCCUAUAAGUACUUCUGCUUUAGCUAUACUUUGUAGUUUAGAAAAAUAUUGUAAUUGUAAUAGGCCCAUUUCGAUCGAGCUUGUUAAAAUCCAAAAACCAGAAAUUAAAAAACAAAAAUAAACGAAAUAAAAUAAGGUCCAAUGUUCAUUUACAUUUAUUAGCCUAGCAAUAAAUCCCUUCAAGCCCAAUAGCAAAAUAUAGCCCAAAACAGAAAUGAAACACUAGUCCAAAGCCAAUUUACAAAUGGCCCAAAAGGGCCCAAGAGUUCGGAAAUACCAAAAACCCUAGAGGUUUCUGGAAUCUGCUAGUGCCACAAGCCAGCCACUCCCACGAGUGGUUUCCCGCGCCCACGCCCACGAAUGCUCCUUUCGAAUGGCCAUCUCCAAUGGAACCUACGAGAAGAGCAACGGAAAUAAUAAUAGAAAAAUAGGCCAGUAAAUGACAGCAAGAAAAUACAAUUUUUAUUUUGUUUAUGAUGUAAAUCGGCUAUAAAAAGCCAGAAAAAUGAUGUAAACGGGAAUCAUUUUUUUCCACAGAAAUACACACGAAUACUGAAAAAAAUCAAUUUGAAAUUAGUUUUAAGGUGAUUUUAGAUCGCGUUCUUCCUUAAUUGUCGUUUCUAUUUCAUCAUUCUUUAUCUAUUGCAUGAAAAAAUAAAUCUAUAAGGGGAAAAGGAGACUUAUCUGUUGUUGAAGGAGCCUUUGAAUCCUUGUUUGCUUCGUUAAAAUCGAAGCUUUGAUGAGGAUUAAGGGAUCUGAUUUGAUGAUAUGGAGGCGAAGGGGUGGUUGAGUGAUGCCUCUGGUUUAGCCGAAUGAAUAAGGAUAGGUUUUGGUUAUUUCCAUUCUUUUGAUUUUGUUAAAGUAACUGAGUGUUUGACUUUAGGUUCUUUUUAGCUUGAUUUUGUGUUGAAUUUGAAACGGUGCUGUAUGGAUCCACACUUUUGCACUUCGAAUGGUCAAAUUGCGCAAUUAAUCUUUCGCCUUUGCGCAGACUUUUAAUUGAUCUGUAUUUACAUUUUAUUUUAUUUCAAACUUUUCCUAAAAUUUGCGUGUCUUUGCAAUUCAGUCCGCUCCUAAACACAGUGUUUCAGGACCUGGAAUAUUCUCAGUUUUGAUCCCUGAAUAUUCAUGUAUAUUGCGCUUUAGUCAUUAUUUCUAUUUCAAUAGUCUUUUAUUUAUAAAUUACCCCUUCUAUUUUAAUUCUGUUUUAAUUGAGUUUUCUAUUUGUAUAAUUCAUUAUUUUAAAAUUCAUUUAAUAUUUUUAUACAUGUGUUGAGUUUUUUUAAUAAUUUUGCUUUGUUUUUAUUUGUGUAAUUAUUUUGAAGUUCUUUUUUUAUAUAUAUCAUAUUAUUUUGACAUUUUGUAUAAUAUUUGGUUUAAAUCUUUUUAUAUAUUUGUACAUAUAUACUAUUUUGAUUGAAUUUUUUUAUUUUUUAUAAUUCAUUAUUAUUUUAAAAAUCCACUUAACGUACAUUUUUAAUUCUUGAUUAUUUAUUUUUUAUAUUUCUAGCUACUUUAAUAAUUUUACUUUGUUUUUUUUUAAAUUAUUAUUGUAAAGUUUGUUUAUAUCAUAUUAUUUCAAUAUUCUAUAUAAUAUUUUGUAUAAAUGUUCUUAUAUAUUAUUAUAUAUAUGCUUCAUGAUAAAAUUAAUUUUAUUAUAAAUACAUUAUUAAUUUUAUGUUAUUUUAUACAUAUAAUUUCUUUUAAAUCUAUUCACAUAUUUUAUAUAUAUCUUUGUUAUUUAAAAGAAAAUCCUACAUAUCUAAUGUACUAUUUAUUGGUACAUAUAUUAGAUUUAUAUACAUCAUUAAAUCCGUAUUAUUUUAUAUGUAUAAUUUCUUUUGAAUCCAUUUGUGUACAUAAUUAUGUAUUUUUUUAAAUCUAUUGCAUAUACAAUUUAUGAUAAAAUUAACUUAACUUUAUAUACAUUAUAAAUUCCGUGCUAUUUUCACCAACAAUUGCUUCCAAAUUUAUUUAUAUAUAUACAUAUACGUUUUGUAAGUCUAUUAUGUGUAAUUUAUUUCCCAAGAUUGUAUUUUAUUAUGUAUUUUUGCUAUCCUUUCAUAUUUGUAUAUUAUUUAAAUUCUCCUUUAUUAUAUGUAUUUUAAUAAAUAUUUUUAGCAGUUUGUACAUUAUUUUUUUUAUAUUGUAUAUUGAUUGUUCUUCAUGCAUGCUUGGAAAGUUGAUUUCAUUUUGCUUAGAUUAGUCACACUCAAUUGUUUAGUUGGUUUACCAAGUUUGGCACUUUAUGUGUGCUUAUUGUUUCAUGAUUAUUAAUCUCUUUUUUAUACAAAUGUUGCUUUGUAAUUUUUUUUAAAAAAUAAUUAAUUAUUCCAUCUCAUUUUAAAACAAAUAAAUGUGUUUUGAGGUAAUUUUCAAUUUUCUUUAUUAUUCAAGAUUCUAAAAUAAGGCAAUAUUCAAUAUUUGGAAAUUCGGAAAAUCGUACCCUAUCGUGCUGGGUAUGAUUUUUCGUCGGACUAAAUAUUUGGAAACCCUUUUAUAAUUUUUAGCGUAUGAGCUUUUGAAAAUCGAAAAUCAAUCUUAUUUUUGAAGGUAUAAGGGAUCGUGUCCAAUUGUGCUAGAUAUGAAGCUGCAUACCUUUAAAACGAGAGAAUUUUGAUGACCACUUUGAAUCGCUUAAGUGUUCUAAUAAGAGCCAUAUUUCAAAAAAAAAUUAAUCUUAGACAUAAUGACAGUAUUUAAUCAAUUUGGUACCAAUUUUGGGUGUAGUGAGGGUGCUAAUCCUUCCUCAUACGUAACCGAUUCCUGAACCCGUCUUUUUAAAAAUUUACGUAGGCCGAAAUUGAUUUAAAUGAAAUGUUUUAUUAGGUGAUCCAAUUACACCUAAACAAAAGGAUUGGUGGCGACUCCACUCGUUUUAAAGUCGAUUCCCGUUUUUUCCAAAAAUAAAAAAAUAGUUUCGACAACUUGACGACUCCACUGGGGAAUGAACAAGAGAGUCAAGCCAUAAAAUUGAUUAUUUAUUGUUCUCUUGUGUAAAUUGAAAAUCUAAUUUGAAAAUCAUGAUUCUUUGUUGCAUUUGUUUGCAUGAUUGUGGUGGUCCAAGUCUUGUAGAAUAAUAUGGCAUUGCAUUGCAUGACCGUUGUGGUCAUACUUUCUAAGUGGGAGUGAAAAACUACGCCUUCGUGAGGUUUUCACCUCCGUAUGGGAUAGUGGAUUACUUCCGGGAUACAUUCGUACCUAUGAUUUCAUGAAAUUUUCAUCUCCGCAUGGUCAUAGGGAAAUUAUUCCCCUGAAUUGAACUUGAUCCAUAUGAGCCUAUAAUGGGUGAGGAUUGAGGAAUCUGCUGGUUCAAGUACCCUUUCUCUAGAACCGAUCCACAUAUAGUGAACCCUGAGAGCCCACCUUAGGUAGAACCUUGCCCAAAUUUAGUGGUCACCCGAAUAGAUACUUUAUUUGUUAUUUAUUUCUUCUGUACUAACAUGUUUUGUUUUUGUUUUGUUGAUGAUUGCAUUACAUUACAUCAUCAUAGAAAGGAGGUGUUGAUUCAUAUUUGAUUGCUAAAUAGAACAGUUUUUCAUAAGAAAAGGAAUUUCUUAAUAAAGUGGAUUAUAAUACAGUUGUCUGAAUAUGGUCCAAGUAAACACAACGGAAAAAGCUGAUGGUUCGCGAAGGAAAAUAAUACUCUAUUUGAGGAUUUAAGCCGAUCAAGGUUAUUCGAGAGCCGUCGCAUCCUGACUUUCUUAAAGGAGGUAAUAAAUAUCGCGAGGAUAAUAAGUCGCGGCCUGGAUCAAGUAAAAAGGAGCUAGUGAAGGCAUUUAUUGGAAGCUUGCGAGAUUUGACCUUCAUGAAGAAAAGGGAUCGGUGUCUUCGCCUGGAAUAUGGAAGCAAGGCCGUAUAUAAUCCGUUUUACGUAAAGGAAUUUGUUUUAUAGAAAAGUUGUUCUAAUGGAAUUGAGUUCAAAAUCAACACAUUUCUUUCUUUUGCAUUCAUCUCAUGCAUUUGCAUUGCAUUGCAUCAUUAUAUCAUUUGCAUUAGAUUUUCAUAAAAGGGUCCCUAAUUAGUUGAAAUCAUUUUAGUUAACCUGGGAACCAAUAAAAACUUACCACCCAAGCGUCAUUACAGUACCCGUGCUAAGACAAAAGAUAUGGACCAAAGAUUGGAAAGACUUGAACAACUUCAAAAAGAGAUGCAAGACCAGUUACAAAUGCAAAUGCAGGAGCAACUGGCAAAGAUCCGACAGGAUAUUAGAGACCAAGUGCUAGAGUCUCAAAGGAAUAUAAUGGAUCAGUUGUCCCAAUUGCUGACUAAGGGGCUAGGAAAAGGGAAAAGCUCCAUGAUCAAUGUUGAGAAGGAUAACGAAGAACCUCUCUACCCUUCGGGUUUCACUUCUACAAAUGUUUAAACAUGUCCACAAGGUGUACCUAUUAUUAGAGCCCAGCAAUAUCAGGACGGUACCUUUGCACCAGUGGAUUACCCGAUAGGCUCAAGCUCCAAUCUAGGGGGCAACCCAACCAAUCUUGAAGUUCCUGAUCUAGAUGAAAUGGAAAAAGCAAAGAGGGAAUUGCCAAGACAACUUGAGGUUCGGUAUAGGUGGUUGGAGAAAAAAUUGAAAGCAAUGGAGAAUGUUGACUUUUACUGUGGGAUUGACGCCAAGGAUUUAAGUUUGGUCCCCAAUCUAGUACUCCCACCAAAAUUUAAGAUUUUAGAGUUUGAAAAGUACAAUGGGACCAGUUGUCCUGAAGCUCACAUCACAAUGUUCUGUCGAAGGAUGACAGGGUAUGUUAACAACGACCAAUUAUUAAUUCAUUACUUCCAAGACAGUCUGGUCGGGCCAGCAGCUAAAUGGUACAAUCAUUUGAGUCGUGCUAAAAUCAAUUCAUGGAAGGACUUAGCACAAGCUUUUAUGAAGCAGUAUAGCCAUGUAACAGACAUGGCGCCCGAUAGAAUUACCCUGCAGAAUAUGGAAAAGAAGCAGAAUGAGAGCUUUAGGCAAUAUGCCCAAAGAUGGAGAGAGGUAGCAACACAAGUUCAACCGUCUCUUCUGGAAAAAGAGACUACAAUGCUUUUUAUCAAUACUCUAGAAGCCCCAUUCACUAAUCAUAUGUUGGGAAGCACUACUCUAAGCUUUUCAGAUAUAGUAAUGUCCGGUGAGAUGAUUGAAGAUGCGAUAAGAAAUGGGAAGAUAGAUAUGGGAGAAAGCGCCAAAAGGUUAACCCCAAGAAAUGAGGAAAAUGAAGUGAACAUCAUGAGCAUGCCUUCCAAAUUGGUUAACAUAGGCUAGCCAAGGGUUGUAACCACUAGUUAUCAAAGAGAAUUUGAAUGACAUAUCCAAAGAGAGGUCCAAGGAAUAAAAGUUUCCAAACACUUAUGUACUUGGGGGUGUUUUAAACAAUGGGACUGUGGAAAAGAUUCCUGUAUUUUUAGAGCUGAUCUAGAGUAAUAUUCAAAACACGCUUGAUGCCUUAAGCCUAGGGGUAAUAAGAAUCCUUUUGUGAAAUAGGCUUGUGUCCAAAAAAUUUUAUUUCAAUAAAAUGCAUUCUUUUUGAAUAAAUAUUCUUUCAUUUUUUAAAUAUUCUUUUUUUCUUUGGACUAUUUUCUUUGUAAAUAUGCUUUCAUUCUUCAUUCAUGAUCAUACCAUACAAAUAAUUAUCCUUAGAAUCAUUUAUUCUUUGGAAUUUGCCUUUGUAUCUAUAAUAGGUCCCCAGAUAUCAAUGACAUGAGCAACGCUGUAACUGACUCCCUUUUUGGGUGAGAUAUGUGUUUAAGCGGAUCUCAGGACUUUGAAGAUGACAGAGAUUGUGACUUAUUUCCUGAUUUGUUAAGGACGGUAGAACAAGAUGAAAAACAAAUCCUACUUUACGAAAGGUUAAUGGACAUUGAGAGCAAGAGGCAAAGAUCGAAGCCUGAGCCACCACAAGGACAAAAUGAAUCGUCAUUGAGUUACUUCAAGAAUUCAAAGAUGUUAUCGCAUAAUCAUGUCAAGAUAUACUUGAGAUACUAAGACUUGUGGACACCAAAAAAUGUCUAUACAGGUGUCAGAAGGACACAUGUUAAUGGUAGCCGCGUUAAUUAUGAGAUUUGGGUACUGUGGAUCUGCCAUGGAAAGGGAUUGCAUUAGUUAGGAUGUAUUUAGGGAGACAAGAUUCAUGUGCCUCAUUCAUUUCUUCACAAACUCUCUCUAUGUGGGGCAUGAAUGUUAUCAGGCCAUUCUCGUCUAAUAUACAUUGAUUCAUCUUUGUAAUCGUUGAUGACUUCACGAAGAGGGUGAAGGUCGCUUCAUAUGCCAAUAUUACAAGGUCGAUAGUCAUCAAAUCUAAAAAAAAAAUUACUGACAAGUAAUGUCAGAAAGGAUCACUUCUAAUACAACUGCACAAUGUCAAAAGUUUGCAGUCUGUUCAAAGAUCAGACAUUAUAUCACAGUAUAGCAAAGGCAUCCAAAAAGAAAAACAAAAGUACAAAAAUAGAAAAAAGAAAAGGAAAAGCAAACAAUAGAACAAAGGUCAUAGUGAAAAAUGACUGAGUCUUGUAAGGAUUUGCAUAAAGAAGUUAUCAUUUGCCUUUUAUGUUUAUCGAACGUGGGUCGGGACCUUUACCGGGGCAACACAUUGAUUUAUAGGACUGAAACAGUUUUUGAAGACGAGAUUCUUUGUCUCCGAGUCUUGUCAGAGUUGGAGUUGGAUAAGGCAGAAUGGAUCUAAGCUCAAUGUGAUUAGUUGAAUUCAAAGAAAGGAGAUUCUGUCGUGGUCCAAUGCACCAGAGAUGAAUGAUAUAAGAAAAUUCCAUGAGGGGAACUUGAUAUUGAAGAAGAUUCUUCCUAUACAAAAGGACUUCAAAGGAAGAAAUAUGCUAAACUAAGAGAGACCUUAUGUAAAGAAGGCCUGUUUUAGAGGAGCAUUGAUAUUGACCGAAAGGAUUUGCCCAGUUCGGGGAAUUCAAAAUGCAGUCAAAGAGUAUUCUACCUAAAAUGGGAAAGGCCAAGGUGAAAACCCGCAAAGGGCGCAUUGAGACCUUUUAAAAAAAAGAUCGAAAUAAAAAAUAAAAGUCAAAAACAAAAAAAAAGAGAAAAUUUGAAAAAAGAAAAUAAAAAAAAGAAGAAAGAAAAGGAGAGGCCAAGGCGAAAACCAGCAAAGGGCACUUUGAGACCAAAGCGGAUUUGAGUUGAAAACCCGAAAAGGGCGGCUCAAAUUUGGAUUAAAAUGGGCCAUACAAUAGUAUUGCUAUGCCUGAAUUAACAAUGAAAGAAGAAUGUUACGUCUUGGGGCAUUGACAAAGUACUCCGGAUCCCCUAAAACACAGAUUGAGCUCAGAAUGGUCCUUAAGAAGUUGGUACAGAGAAGCUCAAGCUGCGAUAUCUGGGGCACCUAGCUUUCCAUUUUUACCCAUUUUUUGUUUGUUAUCUUUGAUUACCUUAUUCUUUUCAGGUCACGUCCUAGUAGAUUUCUUUCUUGGUUGCAUUUGCUUGUUUGUUUCGAGCUAUGUUCUCAAUUAAUUCCUUUCUUGUCCAUGGUUAUGAUCUUUUUCAAGCAUUUUGCAUUGAAAUAACGAUUUUUGGACUAAUAAUACUUUCAUAAAAGGAGUUUUGCAUAUUACUUUGGGAAGUUUCUAAAUAUACAAGAGCUUAAAACAGGACUAUUGUUUAAAACCCACCAAGCUUAAAGGUGGGAAACAUUUAAGCCCAAAUUGAGAUUAUCUCCUUGGAUUUUUUGUCAAAGAUAUUGGUUGAGCGAAAAGAAAAUUACAUUGGUGUUAUAAUCCUGGCAAAGAGCGAGUAAUGGGGUUAUUCUCGAGAAAAGAAAAAUGGUAUUCUGUAUUCAUAUGGAUAUCAGGCAUAUACAUCUGUUCAUUACACCUACGGAAUGGUGUAAUAGAUCAAAGUGGUUGAAGAUGAUGCAAAUCCUAUACUGCUGAGUUACAGCAGGAUGGAUAGAAGGAAUCAAAUGAUUAUUCCCCUAAAGUCGCAGUAGGAGGUUCAAACUUUAUGUCUCAGAAGUUAUGGUGUAAGGGACUUUGAAAUUACAGCAGGGCAAGCUUGCUGAGUAGAAUUUGAUUGUUUCUUUGGGUUUUCUGUCAAGAAUAUCAGCCGAACAAGAUGGCAGCAUAACAAAUCAAUGAUAAUGCCCUGGUGAAGAACGAGCGAUAACACCUUAAGCAUUUUUUUAAAAAAAAAUCAUCAUUUAAAAAGAUCAUUCUCAUUUUUUCAUCUAUAUAUCAUUCAUAUCACAUUUAGUUAGGAGUAUUUGACUCAUUUCGAUCAUAGCAUCCUAAUUAUUUGACAUAAGCAUCUCAUCUAGUUAGGAGCAUUUGAUUCAUUUCGAUCAUAGCAUCCUAAUUGUUUGACAUAAGCAUCAUAUUUAGUUAGGAGCAUUUGACUCAUUUUGAUCAUAGCAUCCUAAUUAUUUGCAUAAUCAUAGACAUAUGAAAUCGAGUCUAUAGGACAUGUCCAAGAGGAUGAUGUAGUAACAUCGGUGAAGUCAAGUCUUAUCUCCCUGAGGUUGCAGUGGAACAGACUAAAGAUUGCAAGUCUUAUUUCCCUAAGUAGUAGUGGAACAGACUAAAGGCGACAAAUCUUAUCUCCAUGUACCGGCAAUGAAGCAGAUUUAUGUCACCAGUCUUAUCUCCCUGAAGUUGCAGUGGAGCAGGCUCAAUAUAUAAGUCUUAUCUCCUUGAUGUUGUAGUAGAGCAGAUUAAAGAUUGAAGAUCUUAUCUCCCUCAGCAGUAACGGAGCAGAUUGAGGAUGGCGAAUCUUAUCUCCAUGCACAGGCAAUGGAGAAAAUUUUAGCCACUGACCUUAUCUCUCUAAGGUAGCAAGAGAGCAGGUUGAAGAUGAUAGUCUUAUCUUCCUGAGGUUGCAAGGAAGCAGACUGAAGAUUGAAGAUCUUAUCUCCCUAAACAGUAGCGGAGCAGAUCGAAGAUGGCGAAUCUUCUCUCCACGCACAGGCAAUGGAGCAGAUUUUAGCCACUGGCCUUAUCUCUCUGAGGUAACAAGAGAGUAGGUUGAAGAUGGUAGUCUUAUCUUACUAAGAUAGCAAGGAAACAGACUGAAGAUUGAAGAUUGGAAGAGGCAAAUCUCAUCUCUAUGUAUCGGCAAUGGAGCAGAUUUAAGCCUCAAGCCUUAUCUCUCUGAGGUAGCAAGAGAGCAGGUUGAAGAUUGAGUCUUAUCUUUCUGAGGUAGUAAGAAAGGAGACGGAAGAUUGAAGAUCUUAUCUCCCUAAGCAGUAGCGGAGCAGAUCGAAGAUGGCAAAUCUUAUCUCCAUGUACAGGCAAUGGAGCAGAUUUUAGCCACUAGCCUUAUCUCUCUGAAGUAGCAAGAGAGUAGGUUGGCGAUUGUAGUCUUAUCUUCCUGAGGUAGCAAGGAAGUAGACUGAAAAUUGUAGAUCUUAUCUCCCUAAGUAAUAGUAGAGCAGAUCGAAGAUGGCGAAUCUUAUCUCCAUGUACAGGCAAUGAAGAAAAUUUUAGCCAUUGGUCUUAUCUCUCUGAGGUAGCAAGAGAGCAGGUUGAAGAUAGUAGUCUUAUCUUCCUGAGGUAACAAGGAAGCAGACUGAAGAUUGUAGAUUUUAUCUCCCUAAGCAGUAGCAGAGCAGAUCGAAGAUGGUGAAUCUUAUCUUCAUGUAUCGACAAUGGAGUAGAUUUUAGCCACUAGCCUUAUCUCUUUGAGGUAGCAAGAGAAUAGGUUGGCGAUUGUAGCCUUAUCUUCCUGAGGUAGCAAGGAAACAGAUUAAAGAUUGAAAAUCUUAUCUCCCUAAGCAGUUGUGGAGCAGAUCGAGGAUGGCGAAUUUUAUCUCCAUGUAUCGGGAAUGGAGUAGAUUUAAGCCACCAGUCCUAUUUCCCUAAAGUUACAGUCAAGAUUCAGCAAAAUCGGGAAAAAUUGGUCCUAUUUGAAGUCUUUGCUCUAUUUUCGUUACACGACAAUAAACAAAGAGGGACAGCUGUAAUAGGCCUAUUUCGGUCGGGCCCGUUAAAAUCCAAAAACCAAAAAUUAAAAACAAAAAUAAAUGAAAUAAAAAUAAAAUAAGGUCCAAUAUUCAUUUACAUUUAUUAGCCCAGCAAUAAAUCCCUUCAAGCCCAAUAGCAAAAUAUAGCCCAAAACAGAAAUGAAACACUAGUCCAAAGCCAUUUUACAAAUGGCCUAAAAGGGCCCAAGAGUUCGGAAAUACUAGAAAUCCUAGAGGUUUCUGGAAUCUGCUAGUGCCACAAGCCAGCCAUUCCCACGAGUGGUUUCCCACGCCCACGCUCAUAAAUGCUCCUUUCGAAUGGCCAUCUCCAAUGGAACCUGCGAGAAGAGCAAUGGAAAUAAUAAUAGAAAAAUAGGCCAGUAAAUGACAGCAAGAAAAUAAAUCUAUAUUUAUUUAUGAUGUAAAUCGGCUAUAAAAAGCCAGAAAAAUGAUGUAAAUGGGAAUCAUUUUUUUUCCACAGAAAUACACACAGAUACUGAAAAAAAUCAAUUUGAAAUUAGUUUUAAGGUGCUUUUAGAUCGUGUUCUUCCAUGAUUUUCGUUUCUAUUUCAUCAUUCUUUAUCUAUUGCAUGAAAAAAUAAAUCUAUAAGGGGAAAAGGAGACUUAUCUAUUGUUGAAGGAGCCUUUAAAUCCUUGUUUACUUCGUUGAAAUCGAAGCUUUGAUGAGGAUUAGGGGAUCUGAUUUGAUGAUAUGGAGGCGAAGGGGUGGUUGAGCGAUGCCUCUGGUUUAGCCGAAUGAAUAAGGAUAGGUUUUGGUUAUUUCCUUUCUUUUGAUUUUGUUAAAGUAACUGAGUGUUUGACUUUAGGUUCUUUUUAGCUUGAUUUUGUGUUGAAUUUGAAACGGUGCUGUAUAGAUCCACACUUUUACACUUCGAAUGGUCAAAUUGCGUGACUGAUCCUUCUCCUUUGCGCAGACUUUUAAUUGAUCUGUAUUUACAUUUUAUUCUAUUUCAAAAUUUUCCUAGAAUUUGCGUGUCUUUGCAAUUCAGUCCACACCUAAACACAGUGCUUCAGGACUUGGAAUAUUUUCAGUUUUGAUCCCUGAAUAUUCGUUUAUAUUGCGCUUUAGUCAUUAUUUCUAUUUCAAUAGUUUUUUAUUUAUAAAUUAUCGCUUCUAUUUUAAUUCUAUUUUAAUUGAGUUUUCUAUUUGUAUAAUUCAUUAUUUUAAAAUUCAUUUAAUAUUUUUAUACAUGUGUUGUGCUUUUUUUAAUAAUUUUGCUUUGUUUUUAUUUGUGUAAUUAUUUUGAAG
RNAcentral lists this long non-coding RNA (11202 nucleotides) under Gossypium barbadense (sea-island cotton). RNAcentral's name for it is "long non-coding RNA (GBAR_LNC002110)". The record is from RNAcentral. Lineage: Eukaryota; Viridiplantae; Streptophyta; Magnoliopsida; Malvales; Malvaceae.